GAUGAACGCUGGCGGCGUGCCUAAUACAUGCAAGUCGAGCGACAAGAUAGGGAGCUCGCUCCUUUGCCGGUAGCGGCGGACGGGUGAGUAACACGUGGAUAACCUACCUAUAUUACGGGGAGAAUUCCGUAAAACCGCUUCUAAUGCUGGAUAACACUUACAACCGGAUGGUUCUAAAGAGAAACAUGGCUUUGCUGUCUCUUAUAGACGGUCCCGCGCCGUAUAAGCUAGUUGGUAAGGUAACGGCUUACCAAGGCGACGAUCCGUAGCUGACCUGAGAGGGUGAUCGGCCACACUGGAACUGAGACACGGUCCAGACUCCUACGGGAGGCAGCAGUAGGGAAUCUUGCGCAAUGGGCGCAAGCCUGACGGAGCCACGCCGCGUGAGUGAUGAAGGUCUUCGGAUCGUAAAACUCUGUUAUUAGGGAAGAACAGCUGUGUAAGUAACUGUGGACGUUUUGACGGUACCUAAAGAGAAAGCACCGGCUAACUUCGUG
This 497-nucleotide ribosomal RNA is filed under the name uncultured bacterium. RNAcentral describes it as "partial 16S ribosomal RNA". It matches the Rfam family "Bacterial small subunit ribosomal RNA", at positions 28 to 507 of the family's 1533-position model. The record is from RNAcentral.